GUGCACCAGGCGCGAAACUUCACACUGUGCGAAAGCACGAUGAGGGAAUCCUAAGUGCUUGCACGUAAGUGUAAGCUGUUUCUCUGUCUAAAACGCAGAGAGAGUAAGGGCUGGGUAAGACGGGUGCCAGCCGCCGCGGUAAUACCUGCAGCUCAAGUGGUGACCGUUAUUAUUGGGCCUAAAACGUCCGUAGCCGGUUUAAUAAAUGCCUGGGUAAAUUGUGUAGCUUAACUAUACGAAUUCCGGGUAGACUGUUAAACUUGAGACCGGGAGAAGUUAGAGGUACUCCUGGGGUAGAGGUGAAAUUCUGUAAUCCUAGGGGACCGCCAGUGGCGAAGGCGUCUAACUAGAACGGGUCUGACGGUGAGGGACGAAGCCCUGGGGCGCAAACGGGAUUAGAUACCCCUGUAGU
Molecule: ribosomal RNA, 412 nt
Filed under: uncultured microorganism
Description: bacterial SSU rRNA
Rfam family: Archaeal small subunit ribosomal RNA
Source: RNAcentral